GAAAAUCAUGCAUUGAUGCUUUCCUAAAGCUGGGAAUGUUAACAUAAGGCACUCCUCAUUUCUGAGUGUCCUGCCCAUUCCCACCUCCAGAACCUGACAAAUCUACUUACCAGCAUGUCAAGUCACUUCUCUUGAAGAAUAAACACCAGAAAGUAGGAGGCUCAAGAGUGACAGAAAUUUAGACCGAAAUUCAGAAACGGACAUCUAAAGUUAAUUACAGCCCUGUCAUUCACAGUUAUCACUUCAGCUUUCAUUUUUUCUAUCAAAACUAACAUAUGUCUCCUACUUUUUUCUCUGCGAGAUUAAUGUCCUCUUAUUCUUAGUUUUAAAUUUCUCUGAGUAUCAGUCCAUGGUCACUUUUUGGAAAAUAAUCUUAAACAUGAAAUCUUGAAAUGCAUUUUUGUUUGGCAAAUUUUAUAAUGAAAAAACAAAAUAUUGCUACAUGAAAGUCAUUAGUCUAUAUACUAUCUUUCUAAUACUGAUCUUGUAAUAUAAAUCCUAUA
RNAcentral lists this long non-coding RNA (503 nucleotides) under Bos taurus (domestic cattle). RNAcentral describes it as "long non-coding RNA NONBTAT000182". The record is from RNAcentral. Lineage: Eukaryota; Metazoa; Chordata; Mammalia; Artiodactyla; Bovidae.